UACGUAGGUGGCAAGCGUUGUCCGGAUUUACUGGGCGUAAAGAGCGCGCAGGCGGUCGUGCAAGUCGCGUGUGAAAGCCCCCGGCUCAACUGGGGAGGGUCACGCGAUACUGCUCGACUUGAAGGCAGGAGAGGGAAGUGGAAUUCCCGGUGUAGUGGUGAAAUUCGUAGAUAUCGGGAGGAACACCAGUGGCGAAGGCGACUUCCUGGCCUGUUCUUGACGCUGAGGCGCGAAAGCUAGGGUAGCAAACGGG
RNAcentral lists this ribosomal RNA (253 nucleotides) under uncultured bacterium. RNAcentral's name for it is "partial 16S ribosomal RNA". It matches the Rfam family "Bacterial small subunit ribosomal RNA", at positions 524 to 776 of the family's 1533-position model. The record is from RNAcentral.